GUGGGGAAUAUUGGACAAUGGGCGAAAGCCUGAUCCAGCCAUGCCGCGUGUGUGAAGAAGGUCUUCGGAUUGUAAAGCACUUUAAGUUGGGAGGAAGGGCAGUAAGUUAAUACCUUGCUGUUUUGACGUUACCGACAGAAUAAGCACCGGCUAACUUCGUGCCAGAGCCGCGGUAAUACGAAGGGUGCAAGCGUUAAUCGGAAUUACUGGGCGUAAAGCGCGCGUAGGUGGUUUUGUAAGUUGGAGGUGAAAUCCCCGGGCUCAACCUGGGAACUGCCUCCAAAACUGCAUGACUAGAGUACGGUAGAGGGUAGUGGAAUUUCCUGUGUAGCGGUGAAAUGCGUAGAUAUAGGAAGGAACACCAGUGGCGAAGGCGACUACCUGGACUGAUACUGACACUGAGGUGCGAAAGCGUGGGGAGCAAACAGGAUUAGAUACCCCUGUAGUCC
Molecule: ribosomal RNA, 449 nt
Filed under: uncultured bacterium
Lineage: Bacteria
Description: bacterial SSU rRNA
Rfam family: Bacterial small subunit ribosomal RNA
Source: RNAcentral